Prunus avium (sweet cherry) is the source of this 1278-nucleotide non-coding RNA. The record is from RefSeq and is a predicted model, not a curated record. NCBI's taxonomy places the organism in Eukaryota, Viridiplantae, Streptophyta, Magnoliopsida, Rosales, Rosaceae.
UUUGCACAAACAACCAUGUCUCCCUCUUUCCAGGAUCUGACGCCAUGACAGCCCAUAUCCUCUCUCUUAGUUGCACCAGCUAACCAUCGAUACCCAUCUUAGCCAAAAAUCUAGAUAUGCGUCUUGAGUGUUACUUUUUAGAUUCAUAGGUUUUGAGUUUGCUAGUUUGCAGCCUCAGCACUGGAGAUUCAUGACAAGGAACGCCAUCACCCUCUGCCAAAAGUUAAUUUUAAUUAUUCAAGAUUUUAUCAAAAGGCUCUUUCAAUUUAGCUUUGCGGAACCUCACGGCUGCACUCUCAAGUUGGUUUUACUAAAUUUUAUGGAACCUCACUGGAAGAGGUGCCAUGUGAUUGGUUGAAGUUGUAGAAAAAGCUGGGUGAGAGGACGGUGGGAGAGAAUUCUAUUUGUAUUUUUCGAACCUGACUUGAGACCUCCUGUUGGGUUCUCUAAUCUCAGCCACCCACUUCACCCAUUUUCUCCAAUUAAAGCUUCUUUGGUACAUGUAAGUAUACUUAAUUUCCACUUGCAUUUAGGCCGAAGUUGUUAAGUUUCAGUUUUUUCAGAAAAUGUGACUACACACGCAUGUUGACUGUUAAUUUUGCACAGGUUGUGGGUUAGUUUUGAGGUAUAAUUACAUGGUUUUAAACUAUACAUAUCCAGGAUUGUAAUUUGGUUGAAGUUUAAUACCUGAGUUUGGUAAGUAUGGCUACAAAAUCUGUCAAAAACAGGGGCUGCACUUUCAGGUUUGAAACACUUACUUUGGACUGCCUUAUCUUAAAAAUUAGAGCACCGUUUCUGUCAAAUUUUAUAUGGUUUCAAAGUUUAUUUAAUCAACUUCAGGAUGCAUGUAAAUUGGUAGAUUUUUAUGGAGUUUAAGGUGUUUAAUUCUGAGUUCAAAGUUUAAUACACAGUAGCUGAAAUUGUGUUAGUUUCAUAGAUGGUGGAGCAACAACAGUUUCCUAAAAGCUCAUGUCAAGACAUAAGUUGGUGGUUCAAUUGAUGAAUGUCAAGGAUCUUAGCAUAGCUCACGUCAAGAGCCAUCUUCAAGAGCAAGAAGAUAAAGACUCCAAUCAAGCUGUUGUAGCAUGGAAAUCAGGGACGCCAAUGGUGAUUGAAGGUUUAUAAAGAGCCAUCCAUGUAUGAUAAAUUAAUGACACUAGGAUCUAGUAAAUAUGUAAUAAUUUAAAUGUAUUCAUACAUUUAAGUAUAUGGUUGUAUUUUAAAUUAUUGUAUAUAGAUACUGUUUUAGUGGAUGUACAAUUUCUAAUUUGUUUUCAA